This is a long non-coding RNA of Anneissia japonica, 436 nucleotides long. RefSeq lists it as uncharacterized. The record is from RefSeq and is a predicted model, not a curated record. NCBI's taxonomy places the organism in Eukaryota, Metazoa, Echinodermata, Crinoidea, Comatulida, Comatulidae. The transcript has 3 exons.
GGUAAUUUCAAGACUAUUUACCACGAUAACUGAAGUUUGAAUAUUGUUGAUGAAGUACAGACUGAAAUGUGAAAGUUAAGAUUAAUUUUGAGCAAUUGGUAUGAGCAAAGAGAUGACCAGGAGGAAACCAUGAGCUGAGCGACAAACACAAAAGUGGAACCGUGAAUAAAAUUCAAUAUAAAUAUGCAAAAGAUAUACACUAUGUUUAAAAUUUAUAAACAUUAAAAACCACGAUAAAAAAUAAGAAAAAAAGGUUCAUCUAGGUUUCUGAUUGGCUUGUAACAGUCUGUUUGAAGGUGGUAGUUAUGGUGUUUUGCUUUACCAGAAAAACUGAUUUUAUCAAUAUGAAUGAGAGCAACAUUAUUAAACAUUGAAUAACUACCAAAAUUAUAUAUUUCUAAACAAUUGACAGUACUAUAGUUGCUCGAAGCCCACC